GUGGAACUACAGCGAUUCAGCAGUGACCGGCGCAGAUCCAACCAGCUGAAGGAUCCGAAGAGAUUUCUGACGCGAUACAAAUGCUCCUUACGUGGAAUGUCUUCCUUCACGUCUUCUUAAGAUUUUAAAGAAGAGGCUGUGCUGGACAGUAGGAGAUGUUGAAGUUUUGACUGUGGGUUUGCGCUCCCUCUCACCCACGCUCUGUCUCCAGAAGCUGCAGGGGUUUCGCUGAGUUGGCAAAAAUGCGUCGCGACGCAGGAACAGAAAUAAACUGUCGGCCUUCAAGAACUCCAACACACACGCACAUCUUGUCCUCAUCGGACCUCCAAGUAAGCUGUGAGGAUAAAAUACUACAGUGUUGAAUAAGAAAAACAGUGAAAUGAUGGACUUUCCAAAACCUGACACGCUGUAGAUAUAUUUUAUGUAAAUGAUUGUUUGGGUUUUGGCUCCCAGCCCUUCAUAUAAGGGAUUUAUUGCAGUUUGUGUGUUCCAAGAAAAAUUAAGCUACAGUAUGUCAUGUAUAAGGGCUCCAUACAUCCUCACACAAACCCUGACCACAACUUUAUUUAAAAAUGACUGUACAAUGGCUUUCCAUGUGUAAGUGACGUCUGUGGAACAGCCUCUAAUAAACCAUAAAUCAAAAAUGAGAGAAGAGGGAACGAUGAAAACCAUUCUUGACCAAAAAAGCUAGGUAAAAGCUGUUCUUUCAACACACACAGAGACAUCAUCACAUCUGCAGGGCUUUGGUUUCUCUGACUGACAUCAGGUUUAUUUUUUUUAAUAUGCUCAUACACAUUCUUGCAUGUCCACUCCCACAGAUUUAUGUCCUUUUAAUGUAGUUGCCGCUAUGUGAGGGAGGCAGGGUGAAAGCUUUAUGUCUGUCUGCUGUGAUCCGUGGUGUAAACAGUCUCACUGUACCCUGGAAUCUCGCCACUCCUACAGGCUUUAGAAAAAGGGGCAUUCAGGGUGAAAGGAAGGGGCAGCAUUUUGAUGUGUUUUAAGGAGAACAGUUUGCUGUUUGUUUGAUUGAUUGAUGUUUUAAGGUGGGGCUGUUUAAUUGGUGCUUUCAGAUUGGUAGCUGGUUUUAUAGUGGGAUUGUGUAACUGGUGUGUGGUUUUGAAUGGUUGUAGAGUUGUUUUAUUUAAGAAAAGCUAUAAUACUUGAAUUCAUCCCAAUGGGAGUUUCUCAUCUUGUGCAUAACCCCUACUGACGUACACUACCACUCAAAAGAUUGGGGUCAGUGUUUUUUUUUUUGUUUUUUUUUUAAGAAAUAUACUUUUAUUCAGCAAGGAUGCAUUAAAUUCAUGUGACACAAAGACAUUUAUAAUGUUACAAAAGAUUUCUAUUCCAAAUAAAUGGUGUUCUUUUGAUCGUUCAA
This is a long non-coding RNA of Ctenopharyngodon idella (grass carp), 1378 nucleotides long. RefSeq lists it as uncharacterized. The transcript has 2 exons. The record is from RefSeq and is a predicted model, not a curated record. NCBI's taxonomy places the organism in Eukaryota, Metazoa, Chordata, Actinopteri, Cypriniformes, Xenocyprididae.